This 490-nucleotide ribosomal RNA is filed under the name uncultured bacterium. Its description in RNAcentral is "partial 16S ribosomal RNA". It matches the Rfam family "Bacterial small subunit ribosomal RNA", at positions 30 to 507 of the family's 1533-position model. The record is from RNAcentral.
AUUGAACGCUGGCGGCAUGCUUUACACAUGCAAGUCGGACGGCAGCACAGAGAAGCUUGCUUCUUGGGUGGCGAGUGGCGAACGGGUGAGUAACAUAUCGGAACGUACCGAGCAGUGGGGGAUAACUAAUCGAAAGAUUAGCUAAUACCGCAUAUCUUCUGAGGAAGAAAGCAGGGGACCAUUUGGCCUUGCGCGGUUUGAGCGGCCGAUAUCUGAUUAGCUAGUUGGUGGGGUAAAGGCCUACCAAGGCGACGAGCAGUAGCGGGUCUGAGAGGAGGAUGGGCGACAUGGGGACGUGGACACGGCCCAGACUCCUACGGGAGGCAGCAGUGGGGAAUUUUGGACAAUGGGCGCAAGCCUGAUCCAGCCAUGCCGCGUGUGUGAAGAAGGCCUUCGGGUUGUAAAGGACUUUUGUCAGGGAAGAAAAGGGCGGGGUUAAUACCCCUGUUUGAUGACGGUACCUGAAGAAUAAGCACCGGCUAACUACGUG